UUUCUCAAAUUAUUUGCAAUCCUUUUUCGUUAGUGAAAACUAAACAUUGUGAAGUUUAUUUAAUCGUUGAUAAAAAGAUAAAUGUGAAAUGUGUAAGUGAUUGAUCGAAGAAGUUAAUUGGAAUGAAUUUGUGAUCAUGAUGUUAUCUCCAACAAGUUUGCUACGAAAAAAUAUAUCCAAAAAAAAAAGACGAAGAGGAGAAAAAUGAAGAAAAAGAAACGUCGCGCAAGCUAAUUUUAGUGGAUGUGUUUCCACGAUGGUACACAGGAACGCCCUCAGAGAAUAAAUGAAAGAGCAGAAAUGGAUUACUCUCUUGGAUGUAAUUGAUCACGAAGACAAUGGAUUCCUCUAUUUGUGACAACAUCGUCCAUCUCAGGUUUGGGUAUCGACGGCAGGUGAAAGCAAGGCAGAAUAUACAUUCCUCCACGGUGUCCAGUGGUACUUUUUCCGUGUAAUUACUUUAAUAAUUCGUAUCGACUUCCACUGGGAACUCCUUUCGCUGGACACGCAAGUUGGCUCGUUUCUUGGUCUCUAUAUUUGCUAGGUAUACACAACUAUCGAUUGAACGUGGAAUUUAGGACAACUUCGUUUACUUUUCCUUACGUAAUUAAUUUAUUUUUACGUAUUAAUAUAUUUGAAAUUGGAAAUAUUGUUUUAAUCUUAAUUAUAAGUUUAUUUUAGCGGAUAUAUUUGUUGGAAAGUCGCAUUUAUAAUUAUGUAUAAUCUUGUGUGAUGGUACGUUAAUAAAGAGAAUUUUAUUUA
Apis cerana (Asiatic honeybee) is the source of this 762-nucleotide long non-coding RNA. RefSeq lists it as uncharacterized. The record is from RefSeq and is a predicted model, not a curated record. NCBI's taxonomy places the organism in Eukaryota, Metazoa, Arthropoda, Insecta, Hymenoptera, Apidae.